UACGUAGGGUGCGAGCGUUGUCCGGAAUUACUGGGCGUAAAGAGCUCGUAGGUGGUUUGUCGCGUUGUUCGUGAAAACCGGGGGCUUAACCCUCGGCGUGCGGGCGAUACGGGCAGACUGGAGUACUGCAGGGGAGACUGGAAUUCCUGGUGUGGCGGUGGAAUGCGCAGAUAUCAGGAGGAACACCGGUGGCGAAGGCGGGUCUCUGGGCAGUAACUGACGCUGAGGAGCGAAAGCGUGGGGAGCGAACAGG
Molecule: ribosomal RNA, 253 nt
Filed under: uncultured bacterium
Lineage: Bacteria
Description: partial 16S ribosomal RNA
Rfam family: Bacterial small subunit ribosomal RNA
Source: RNAcentral